UGGGAAAUGAGCUUACUGGCAGUCUCAAC
This 29-nucleotide non-coding RNA is filed under the name Rattus norvegicus (Norway rat). Lineage: Eukaryota; Metazoa; Chordata; Mammalia; Rodentia; Muridae. The record is from RNAcentral.